GUGUCAGCCGCCGCGGUAAUACGAAGGGGGCUAGCGUUGCUCGGAAUUACUGGGCGUAAAGGGCGCGUAGGCGGACAGUUAAGUUGGGGGUGAAAGCCCGGGGCUCAACCUCGGAAUUGCCUUCAAUACUGGCUGUCUUGAGUGUGAGAGAGGUGUGUGGAACUCCGAGUGUAGAGGUGAAAUUCGUAGAUAUUCGGAAGAACACCAGUGGCGAAGGCGACACACUGGCUCACUACUGACGCUGAGGCGCGAAAGCGUGGGGAGCAAACAGGAUUAGAUACCCUGGUAGUCCACGCCGUAAACGAUGAGUGCUAGUUGUCGGGCGGCAUGCCGUUCGGUGACGCAGCUAACGCAUUAAGCACUCCGCCUGGGGAGUACGGUCGCAAGAUUAAA
This 393-nucleotide ribosomal RNA is filed under the name uncultured bacterium. RNAcentral describes it as "bacterial SSU rRNA". It matches the Rfam family "Bacterial small subunit ribosomal RNA", at positions 505 to 898 of the family's 1533-position model. The record is from RNAcentral.